This 253-nucleotide ribosomal RNA is filed under the name uncultured bacterium. RNAcentral's name for it is "partial 16S ribosomal RNA". It matches the Rfam family "Bacterial small subunit ribosomal RNA", at positions 524 to 776 of the family's 1533-position model. The record is from RNAcentral.
UACGUAGGGUCCAAGCGUUAAUCGGAAUUACUGGGCGUAAAGCGUGCGCAGGCGGCUUCGCAAGUCAGACGUGAAAUCCCCGGGCUUAACCUGGGAAUGGCGUUUGAAACUACGGAGCUGGAGUGUGGCAGAGGGAGGUAGAAUUCCACGUGUAGCGGUGAAAUGCGUAGAUAUCUGGAGGAAUACCGGUGGCGAAGGCGGCAUCCUGGACCGGCAUUGACGCUGAUGAGCGAAAGCUAGGGGAGCAAACGGG